Molecule: microRNA precursor, 79 nt
Filed under: Tupaia belangeri chinensis (Chinese tree shrew)
Lineage: Eukaryota; Metazoa; Chordata; Mammalia; Scandentia; Tupaiidae
Description: Tupaia chinensis (Chinese tree shrew) mir-450 microRNA precursor family
Rfam family: mir-450 microRNA precursor family
Source: Rfam by way of RNAcentral
GCAGAAUUCUUUCUGCAAGAUGUUCCUGAAUAUGUAAUGCAAGUGUAUUGGGAGCAUGUUACAUCCAUAGUUUUGUGUC